Long non-coding RNA from Tupaia belangeri chinensis (Chinese tree shrew), 490 nucleotides. RefSeq lists it as uncharacterized. Lineage: Eukaryota; Metazoa; Chordata; Mammalia; Scandentia; Tupaiidae. The record is from RefSeq and is a predicted model, not a curated record. The transcript is spliced from 2 exons.
GAGCUACUUGGUUAUUCACCCAGAUCUGACACCUGACACAUGGGAGAGCUGGGAUUGGAGUGUAGGUUUUGUCAGAUUCUAAGCAUGUGCUUGUGACCACAGAACUCAGCCCUAAGAUUCCACUUCUGUGUUCUAAUUAUGUGAAGCGACUUCAAAAACUGUGGAAAAUGGAACUAACCUGGUACAUGGCCUUUGGGGAAUACGGAAGGGAUCAGGCGUAAACCCCUGAAGAUAUCCCCUGCGCCUGAGGAUCAAGGGAUUGCAGCAAAGGAUGACACUGUAACUGGAAGUGAAAGAAAGCCUGGCAGAAGCACAGAGCUGACGGGGAGCUAAGAAGAGGCAUGGGGACAGGUCUGAGUGGCGGUAUAGAGGAAUCAUCUCUAUUUUGGUCAGGUUCUGAGGCACAAGAAGAGGCUGUUAUUCAGUUUUUUUCUUUUCUGUCACAUAAUCAACACAGAAAGACACAAAUAAAAGGACCUACUUGUCUGCA